UGCCUUGACUAUUAGUGGAUCAGAUUUUUAUUUAUUUGUUCAACUUGUAUGCCGCCUUUCUCCGAAGACUCAAGGCUCUUGUAUAUAGGUUGCAGGGAAUAAACUUACAGUGCUUUUGAACUCUAUACUGGCUCCUGGUUUCCUGAAUUUGACACUUUUUUCUCUUUGCAUAUCUAUUCCGCAUAUGUACUUUUUUAAAAAAAAUGCAAAUACUUUUUGUGCAUAAAAUACGGCUUUGUGAUAGAUGAGAUCUCUUCCCAUCAUAUCUUUUAUGAACAGUUCUUCAGAGGAGAUCUUUUAUUAAAGAAAGACGAACAACCAGAUACUAUAAUCUGGGAAGAAUUCAUACUAUGGUGGCUUUUGCUUCCUUAGAAAUCUGUAGCAAAGGUUUACUUUUACAUUUAUAUUUCUGUUUUAAUUUUUGAUUCCAACUCUCACCAGCACCAGCCAGGAAGCUGAAAGCUGUAUAUCAGAAUAUGGAAUAUCACAAGUUUUCCCAUCCCCGUGUUAUAGGAAUCAUAAUCACCAUGGGGAAAAAAGAAAAGAUUUCUAGCGAGGAAAUUCAGAUUCCAAGACAAUAUUAAGAAAUUAAAACAACAGAUCCCACAGAUA
This is a non-coding RNA of Pantherophis guttatus, 612 nucleotides long. Lineage: Eukaryota; Metazoa; Chordata; Lepidosauria; Squamata; Colubridae. The record is from RefSeq and is a predicted model, not a curated record.